This 4274-nucleotide long non-coding RNA is filed under the name Canis lupus familiaris (dog). RNAcentral's name for it is "lncRNA (ENSCAFG00845011273.1)". Lineage: Eukaryota; Metazoa; Chordata; Mammalia; Carnivora; Canidae. The record is from RNAcentral.
GGCAGAGAGAAAGUGUGUGUGUGUGCACACACGCACGUGCACACACACACAUGCACGCACAAGGCAGAGGGAGUGGCAGGGGAGAGGGAGAAGCAGACCCCCUUGCUGAGCAGAGACCCCAAGGUGGGGCUCGAUCUCAGGACCAUGGAAUCAUGACCAGAGAUGAAGGAAGACGCUUAACUGACUGAGCCAUCCAGGCGCAACUUAUAAUCACUCUCUUAAAAACAAAAACUAAAAUGUAUCCAUCAUUCAGAGAUCGGAUAGAGUUCAAGUGCACUGCAGAAAGAAGAAAUAACUAUGAGGUAUAAGUAACUAUUCACUCCAGCAAUUAGACUGGUAGGUCUUAGGAAAGGGAACUCUCGGCCACUAUAUAAUUUUUCCUGGGGCCGAUCCUAAUAAAAUCACCUGACCGUAUAAGGGAUGGCCCUAAAUUUCAGUGGAAUCCCAACCAUACAGCCCCUUCGAGAGAGCAUACUCUCAAAUUGGUCUUUGUACCUAUUUGUAGAAAUGUUAGCCAGAUUAUAGCUGAAAACUCUGCUAAUUCUGGGGACGUUUCUGGUCUUGUGCCUGGAGCUGUUGAAGCAUAUAUUCACACCUACCACAUGUAACACUCAGUAGCAUCAUUUCCAGCACCACACUUUCCUACUUUAUUUUUAAAAGAAACAGAGCAGACACUGAAGACCUGCUCACUCUGUUGCUUUUUCCAGGAGGCUCCAUAAAAGGUGGAAGGGAUGGCUUCUGUGCUGAAAAGAGGCAUAUUUUGCUUUUUUAAAAGGAAAGGGGACACAGAAACCUUUGCUCAGAAUCAGGGAGCUCAUGCUGAAACAUAUAACAUUGGUACCUGCAUGCUAAUAAAAUAAUAAUAAUAAUAAUAAUGUCCCACUUACAAGGUUCUUGGAGCAUAGUGUAGCAAUUAAUUAAUUCCAAUAUGAGAGCUGGGGAAAGAUGUUAAAAGCGUCGUACUCUAGCCUCUUUUUUCUAAGACAAGGAAAGGGAGGUUCUGAAAUGUUUAAUGACUCGCCUCAGACCAACACUCCACCUCAAAUCCAGGUCUUUUCUCUCAGGUCAGGGGACGUCCCACCCCACCGGGCUACUACUAAACAGGCAUUGUGCUGUUGGCCUAAAUUGCACGUAAAACAACAACAAAACCCCUCUCUCUCUCCGCCAGAGUCUCUAUUUAGACUCCAGAGUUGAGAAAGCAAAGGCUCUUUCAACUUCAACUCCCUUAGCAAACAGAAGAAAAGGCAUCCGACUGACCCGGGGACUUUUCCCGCUGGACCCUGGGUCUCCCCGACAGCGAGCGGUGCUGACUGCCAGUUUGACACCAGGGGGCGCAGCAUCCUUUGUCCUGACAGGCAUUGAAGGCGGCCUCCGAAGGCUUGGCUGGGCCUCAAAAAAAAAAAAAAAAAUCUGACUUUCCCUCCUUUCACGGUUUCUUUCUGGAAGCGGCCCACCCCUUAGCCCCCCUCAUUCAUCUUAAGACCAUUUUUUUUUCUUCCUCCCCGGACGCUCAGAUUCUCCCCUCCAUACCAUCUCAGAUUUGCGCAUGUUUUAGGGUCUUGUGCAUGUUUCUAGAAGGGCUUUUCAGAGUCACCAGCCCCUCCCCAGCUGCUCCUCUCCUGCAAAGCCCUGGAACCCAUGGCCACGGCCUAUCGUUUGCUGUCAACUGGAGGGCCCCCCCUACCACCACCAAUUCAGGAUUUUCUAGCAAUUCUUCCAGAAUGAAAAAACUCUCAAGGACAGGACUAGCUUUUUCUGAAAGAAUUAUCACAUGCAUCCUCUAAAAUCCCUCUCCUUCCCACUCACAAAAAUAGUAACAAACAACUGAAAUUACUGGUUCUGGAAAGCUCACGCAGCCCAGCAUUCACCCUCACUGCCCUCUGUCUGCUCCUGAGCCUCUAAUAUCAGCCUUUGGUGGGGGACACCUACCCAAAGGACAGGCUGAGUCAUCCUUUCAGCCACACUUCUUACCGACCCACUGUGCACUCCAAGCAGGAUAAGCGCCUCCUUCCGCCCUCACCAACUUGGCUCUAUGUGUUCUCCAGCAGAAGGAAAUCCACUUCAUAUUCACCGAAGUCUCUGAUUCCAAAGACUCAGUGUUCCCAUGUUUCACAGAUAAAUGAACAUCCCCUACCACUUUAAGACACACUUCUAUGCCUGCUUCUAUAGACACAACACACCCAAAAUGCAAACGCCCAUACCUGACAAACAUGCCCUUUUGCAAAGAGCCCUAAACAUUCACUAUUUUGAACUGAAGGACCACAGGGUCCUCACCAGGCCUUUGAAAAGCCGCUGCCCUAGUUACAUGAAGAGAUUUCGAGUUUACAGUCUUCACCCCUGCUCGCAUUGGAGCUGCUCAACAACCCAGAGGGACGACAGGCAGGGAAAUAUGAAGCUUCAGAAACUUGCCCCAGUCCCAGAGCUAGCACAGGUUGCAGGCAGCACUGGGGUGACAGCAGCUAGGCGACAGGGGCCCAAGGAAAGUUAUCUGUCCAGUUGCACUGGGCAGACCUAGAAGGGAUGCAGCCCUCACAAAUGAUCAGGGUACCUGUGCCAAGAGAGUUAUGGUCUCAGCUCCUGAAAAACUGUGGCAUUAGCAGGUACAAGUGGAGAGGAAAGGAAAGGGUCAUGUGAACUCUGACCUGAUCUUUCUCUUUAUCUGUGACCUCACUCAUGUCUCACUGCUCCCCACUGGCCUUGGCUAUCGUAGAGUGAUGGCAGUGCUGGGUCUGGACAGGUAGCCGCAGCAGGUUAUCUUGACUGGGAGCCUCCCACUCCUCCUUCAGAAAGCAGUGGUAACAUCUAUUAGAUCUGGCAAAGGGGGCAGAGCACGAGAUUUACUUUCAGUUUAGGCCCUUUUGUAUUAUUUGAAGUAUUUGGAUUUAUGUAAAUGUUACUCUUAUAAUUAAAAAAAUUUUUAUUGGGGCUAAUAAUGCUCUUUAGAGUUGCUGUAAUAAUAACCUAUGUAAAGUGUCUGGCACCGCACAUGGUCUGGCACACCGUGGAUGCUUCCUGAACAGUAGUGCAUUGUUAGCCACACCAGCCUCAAAACGGAGCAAACAGACUUCAAAUCAAGAAUCCUAGGGUCUGGAGCAUACUCUGCCCUCAGCUCACCAUAUGCCCUUGGGUAAGUCAAGUCCCUGCUCUGUGCCUCAGUUCCCUCCUCUAUAAAAUUACAAGAUAUGGUCCAAUUGAAUUGGAAAAUAAUGGGAAGGCUAGAGAGCCAAGUUCACCACCAGAAGUGCCCGAGGCACCCUCUAAAAUGCAGCCAGUCUCUGCAGAGGAGGCCUCCCAAGCUGGAGCUCAUCAGGCACAAAUCCUUCCCUUCCUAGAAGAAGCUGGCCUCUAGGGUAGGCAGAAAGGGCUGGAGACAGCUGAGCAAGUUCUGGAGAUAAUACAGAAAUUAAGUUAGGACACAAAAAUGCGUGAACACCAUGCAAAGCCAUCAACUUAGGUAGGCGCCGGGGAGAGAAGGUUCAGGUUAUUCCUUGGGUGCAGUGGGCACCAUGAUCAUUCCCAGAGAGAUGUCCUUGGUUGAUGGAGGGGGUGCAAUUUAGAAGCGAUCUCCUGGCCCAGUCAGAGCCAGCCCCAGGUGGGUAGGAUGAAGAGUUCUCCGUGAGGCACAGGGGCUAGCUUUGGUGAGACCAGGCUCUCCCCUUAACACCAUCAGAAGCAGAGCAGCCCUUUGGAUAAAGUCAGAAGGAACCUGCUGCCCCAGAGAAUUGGACUAAAGCACCUCUGAAACUUUGUCCAUUUUAUCUUAAUGACAACAAUGGAAAAGUGGAGAAACAGCCAUAGAAAGUGCAGUUGAUCAGGCACUAAAACAGGGGAGACCUGUAUUGGGGCACCCCAGCUCCUGAUAAUCAAAUAGAGAUUUGUUCCUGGAACACACAGCUGAUUCAUUUCCCAUCCUGCUCCAAAAUCGGAGGUUUUCCUUAUAAAUCUCCUUUGCCAGUGCUUGGGCUUUGGGGACCAGAGGCAGGUAGUCUGGUGGGUAGGAAGGUUGUGACUUUCUUUUCGCCCCGGUCUUCUUCCUAUUUAAAGCAGCACCGCCUGUCGUAGCCUCGUCUUGCCAAUAUUUGCAGGCAGGAAGAUUUCCUGACAUUGUAAGGGGGGGGGGGGGUGGCAAUCAGAACAGAUGGGAGGCCCUUUCCCAAGGCCAUCAGGCAGGGCAGAAAUCGGUUCACCCGCACCUCAGGAGGAAGCACCAGCCCCCAUUGUCACGGUCAACACUCAGAAGGUAUCUGCGUUUAUAUUUCAAGAAAAAAAAAAAA